Molecule: ribosomal RNA, 332 nt
Filed under: uncultured bacterium
Lineage: Bacteria
Description: bacterial SSU rRNA
Rfam family: Bacterial small subunit ribosomal RNA
Source: RNAcentral
AGCGUAGGCGGGAUCGUAAGUUAGGAGUUUAAUACAUGGGCUUAACCCGUGGCUGGCUUUUAAUACUGCGGUUCUUGAGUAUGGGAGAGGGCGAUGGAAUUCCAGGUGUAGCGGUGGAAUGCGUAGAUAUCUGGAAGAACACCAGUAGCGAAGGCGGUCGCCUGGCCUAAUACUGACGCUGAGGCUCGAAAGCUAGGGGAGCAAACAGGAUUAGAUACCCUGGUAGUCCUAGCCGUAAACGAUGAACACUAGUUGCCGGAGGAGUCAAUCUUUUUGGUGACAAAGCUAACGCAUUAAGUGUUCCGCCUGGGAAGUACGCUCGCAAGAGUGAA